RNAcentral lists this ribosomal RNA (253 nucleotides) under uncultured bacterium. RNAcentral's name for it is "partial 16S ribosomal RNA". It matches the Rfam family "Bacterial small subunit ribosomal RNA", at positions 524 to 776 of the family's 1533-position model. The record is from RNAcentral.
UACGUAGGGUGCAGGCGUUAAUCGGAACUACUGGGCGUAAAGCGUGCGCAGGCGGUUUCUUAAGUCAGAUGUGAAAGCCCCGGGCUUAACCUGGGAACUGCGUUUGAAACUGGGAGACUAGAGUGUGGCAGAGGGGGGUGGAAUUCCACGUGUAGCAGUGAAAUGCGUAGAUAUGUGGAGGAACACCGAUGGCGAAGGCAGCCCCCUGGGUUAACACUGACGCUCAGGCACGAAAGCGUGGGGAGCAAACAGG